RNAcentral lists this ribosomal RNA (1329 nucleotides) under Athyma ranga (blackvein sargeant). Its description in RNAcentral is "16S ribosomal RNA". Lineage: Eukaryota; Metazoa; Arthropoda; Insecta; Lepidoptera; Nymphalidae. The record is from RNAcentral.
GGGGGAAAAUUAAUAAAAUAUAAAUAAUAAAAAAAUUUUUAAUAUUGGGGGGUAUUGAAGUAUUUUUUUAAAAAAAAAUAAAUUAUUUUAUAGUUAAUUAGUAUUGAAAAAGAAAUUUGAAAUAAUUGAAAAUAAAUUAAUAAGAAAGUAAUUUUAAUUUAAUGUAUCUUGUGUAUCAGAGUUUAUUAAAAAAUAUUUUUUUUAUAAAAAAAAUCUCGAAUUUAAAAGAGUUAAUUAAUUAUAAGAGUUAAUGUAGAAAAAUUAUUUUAAAUAAUUAAUUUGAAAUGAAAUGUUAAUCGUUUUUAAAUAUAUCUAGUUAUUUUAGAAAAAAAUUUAAUUUAAAAUUUAAAAAAUUUUAUUAUUAAUUAUUUAAUUAAUAAUAAAAUAUUUAAAAUUAAAUAUGUUAAGGGAUAAGCUUUAAUAUAAAAAAUUAUAAUAAAUUAAAUUAAAAUAUAAAAAUUUUAAAAUUUAAAUUGUUUAAAAAUUAUAAUUUAUUAUAAAAAAUUUUAAAAAUAAUAAAAUUUAAUAUAAAAUUUAAUUUUAUAUAAAAUAAUAAUUUAAAAUAAAAAAAAAUUAAAAAUAAUGAUAAAAUUAGUAUAUGAUAAUAAAAAUAAAAUUUAAUUAAUAAAAAUUAAGUUAAAGGAAUUCGGCAAAAAUUUAUAUUCACUUGUUUAUCAAAAACAUGUCUUUUUGAAAAUAAUUUAAAGUCUAAUCUGCCCACUGAUAAAUAUAUUAAAGGGCUGCAGUAUAUUGACUGUACAAAGGUAGCAUAAUCAAUAGUCUUUUAAUUGAAGACUUGUAUGAAAGAUUUGAUGAGAUAUAAACUGUCUCUAAUUUAUAAAUAAAAUUUAAUUUUUUAGUUAAAAAGCUAAAAUAAAUUUAAAAGACGAGAAGACCCUAUAGAGUUUUAUAUUUUUUUUAUUUAAGAUUAUAUUUAUAAAUAAAAAUUAAAAGUAAAAAUAAUAUUUUAUUGGGGUGAUAGAAAAAUUUAUUUAACUUUUUUUUAAAAAUUAAUUACAUAAAUAAAUGAGUAAUUGAUCCAUUAAUAAUGAUUAAAAGAAAAAAUUACCUUAGGGAUAACAGCGUAAUAUUUUUUUCUAGUACGAAUAGAAAAAAAAGUUUGCGACCUCGAUGUUGGAUUAAGAUAAAAUUUAAAUGUAAAAGUUUAAAAUUUUGAUCUGUUCGAUCAUUAAAAUCUUACAUGAUCUGAGUUCAAACCGGUGUGAGCCAGGUUGGUUUCUAUCUUUAAAAUAAUGAAAUAUUUUAGUACGAAAGGAUCAAAUAUUUUUAAUAAUUAAAAUUUUAUGAAUAUUAAUAAUUAUAGUUAAU